UGCACCGUCCGAGCCCUGGGCUCAGGCUUCUUCCCGGUGGAGUUCUUGGACCGAUCAGGUGAGCCACAGGCCUGGGCCGGCCAAGCGAGGGUGAGACUGGUCAGGUGCUGAAGUCAAAGAAAGUUUCUCCUGAGCUUGUGAUUCCUCUCAACUCUUACUGUUGUUACCCUUACUAUUAUGUGCAGCCAAAAUGUCAUUCCCGUUCGGAGUUCAGAUUAAUACCUGCAUUAAAAAAAAAAAAAUUGAAAUUGUUCACUUGCGUUAUGACCUCCCUCCAUCUUUAUCCUUUCAGCCCUGUGCACUUGAGAGUAAAGAUGAGCGUGCAUGCCCUCGGGCUGGUAAAGGGAGGUGGACAUGUGAAGCAAAUCUCUUGAAGGCCCCCAAGAGGAGAUUUGAAGCAAAGUCUUAGAGAGAGAGGUGGGGGUGGGGGAAUGGUAGGGUGCAUCUGAGGCACGGAUGAGCACUGGGGCCUUGGAGGCGAUGAGAUGGCUGAGGGACAUGAUGGAGGAAGGGGCUAGAUCAGUGUUAAGUGGACUACCAUAUUUGGGAACAGCAAAUUUCCUUGGAAAAGCAAAACAUUUGAAGGGUACAAACAUUUGAAGACCCCAGGGUCCUAGAGGAUGGAGCUUUCUAAGGGUGCUGGAGCAGCAGCUUACAAUGAAAAAUCAAGUAGGAUGACCUCACUCUCAGACUUGGUUCAGAAAGUCUUUACUCAUAUCUGUCCUCAGUGGAUAAAGGGGAAUGCAGAAGGAGACUGUCUUCCCUGCAAGUGUUCAGGUGUGUAAUUGCAGGACCUGUGGCAACCCGGACCGUGCCUCAGAAGGGGGACUGCUUCAGGGGCAGUGUGCAUCAGCAGACACGUUCUCUAAGGGCUCCCAUUGAUAUCUUUCUUUGCCCACAAGAUGUCAGACUCUUCUGACCACAAAAAUACUGUUGAAAAGAAAACUCUAUAAGAAAGGAACAUUUAAUAAGAAAACAAAGGGGGUGAAGUUGAAAAGUAUAAUAGAAAUGGAAAAAAACAAGAUAAAAUUGUGGAACUUUCAGAAAGUAAAAACUAAAAUGAAAAAUAGAAAACAAAGAUAAAAUUAGAAGACCAGUUCAAACAGCCCAAUGUUUAAUUGAUAGUAAUUCCAGAAACAAAGAGAUCAGGAACCAGAGAACUUAACAAUGAAAUCAUUCAAGAAAACAUCUCCAAACUAAAGGACAGGGAUUUCCAGAUGAAUGCCUUAGUGCUCAGUACAAUAGGGGGGAAAAAAAGGAAGACGAAGAAGAAAAAGAGCAAUCCCAGGGUAUACCAUGAGGAAAUUUCAGAAACACUGAGAACAAAAUUUUAGAGGGAAGAAAAUUAAAAAAGGAAGAAGAAUCAGAAUGGUUUCAGAUUUCUCAACUUCAACACUGGAAGCUUAAAAAAAAUGGAGCAAAUGUUUUCAAAUUUCCAAUACAAAGGAAUUUCUAACUUUCAAUAUUGGCAAGAGCCUUCUGAUCAUUGUAGACUGUAAUUCAGGAGAAAAUACAAGUCUGUCCAAAUAAAAGACAUUCUUCCAUA
This is a long non-coding RNA of Myotis lucifugus (little brown bat), 1546 nucleotides long. RefSeq lists it as uncharacterized. The record is from RefSeq and is a predicted model, not a curated record. The transcript is spliced from 3 exons. NCBI's taxonomy places the organism in Eukaryota, Metazoa, Chordata, Mammalia, Chiroptera, Vespertilionidae.